AGGGUUUGAUCAUGGCUCAGGAUGAACGCUAGCGGCAGGCCUAAUACAUGCAAGUCGAACGGUGUAGCAAUACACAGUGGCGCACGGGUGCGUAACACGUAUGCAACCUACCUUACAUUGGGGGAUAGCCUUUCGAAAGGGAGAUUAAUACCGCAUAAGACAGUAAAUGGGCAUCCAUUAGCUGUUAAAGAUUUAUCGAUGUAAGCUGGGCAUGCGUCCAAUUAGUUAGUUGGGGAGGUAAUGGCUCACCAAGACGAUGAUUGGUAGGGGAACUGAGAGGUCAAUCCCCCACACUGGCACUGAGAUACGGGCCAGACUCCUACGGGAGGCAGCAGUAGGGAAUAUUGGGCAAUGGACGCAAGUCUGACCCAGCCAUGCCGCGUGCAGGAAGAAGGCGUUAUGCGUUGUAAACUGCUUUUAUAUAGGAAGAAACGACCCUUGCGAGGGGCAUUGACGGUACUAUAUGAAUAAGCACCGGCUAACUCCGUGCCAGCCGCCGCGGUAAUACA
Molecule: ribosomal RNA, 509 nt
Filed under: uncultured Flectobacillus sp.
Lineage: Bacteria; Pseudomonadati; Bacteroidota; Cytophagia; Cytophagales; Flectobacillaceae
Description: bacterial SSU rRNA
Rfam family: Bacterial small subunit ribosomal RNA
Source: RNAcentral